RNAcentral lists this long non-coding RNA (566 nucleotides) under Pongo abelii (Sumatran orangutan). RNAcentral's name for it is "lincRNA". The record is from RNAcentral. Lineage: Eukaryota; Metazoa; Chordata; Mammalia; Primates; Hominidae.
AGUGCUGGGGGACCCGGCGCACCCUCCGCAGCUGCUAGCCCGGGUGCUAAACCCCUCACUGCCCGGGCCGGCGCUGCCGGCCGGCGUUGGGCCGGCUGCUCUGAGUGCGGGCCGCGGAGCCUGCGCCCACCCGGAACUGGCCGCAGCCCCGGUUCCCGCCCCCGCCUCUCCCUCCACACCUCCCCACAAGCAGAGGGAGCUGGCUUCAGCCUCAGCCAGCCCAGAGAGGGGUCCCCACAGCGCAGUGGCGGGCUGAAGGGCUCCUUGAGCAUGGCCAGAGUGGACGCCAAGGCUGAGGAGGCGCUGAGAGCCAGUGAGGGCUGCUAGCACGUUGUCACCUCAAUACAUAAAACUACUGAAGGGUGGUUCCAAGAUGGCCAAAUAGGAACAGCUCCAGUCUACAGCUCCCAGCAUGAGCGACGCAGAAGAUGAAUGAUUUCUGCAUUUCCAACUGAGUAGAGAGCUGACUUUAGAGGGAUCAGGAAUAGUUUGCUGGAUGGAAGGAGAUUGGGGCCUGUCAUCAUCUUAAAGGCUCUGUGGCAGCUUGGACCUGAAGUAGGGUGCAC